AUUGAACGCUGGCGGCAGGCUUAACACAUGCAAGUCGAGCGGGGUGAUGGUGCUUGCACUAUCACUUAGCGGCGGACGGGUGAGUAAUGCUUAGGAAUCUGCCUAUUAGUGGGGGACAACAUCUCGAAAGGGAUGCUAAUACCGCAUACGUCCUACGGGAGAAAGCAGGGGAUCACUUGUGACCUUGCGCUAAUAGAUGAGCCUAAGUGGGAUUAGCUAGUUGGUGGGGUAAAGGCCUACCAAGGCGACGAUCGGUAGCGGGGCUGAGAGGAUGAUCCGGCAGACUGGGAGCGAGAAGCAGCGCAGACUAAUGCGGGAGGCAGCAGUGGGGAAUGUGGGACAAUGGGGGGAACCCUUAAACAGCCAUGGCGCUUGUGGGAAGAAGGCCUUAUGGUUCAAAAGCACUUUAAGCGAGGAGGAGGCUCGUUUCGUUAAUACCCAAGAUGAGUGGACGUUACUCGCAGAAUAAGCACCGGCUAACUCUGUGCCAGCCGCCGCAGUAA
RNAcentral lists this ribosomal RNA (503 nucleotides) under uncultured bacterium. RNAcentral's name for it is "partial 16S ribosomal RNA". It matches the Rfam family "Bacterial small subunit ribosomal RNA", at positions 30 to 523 of the family's 1533-position model. The record is from RNAcentral.